This 592-nucleotide ribosomal RNA is filed under the name uncultured beta proteobacterium. Its description in RNAcentral is "bacterial SSU rRNA". It matches the Rfam family "Bacterial small subunit ribosomal RNA", at positions 908 to 1499 of the family's 1533-position model. Lineage: Bacteria; Pseudomonadati; Pseudomonadota; Betaproteobacteria. The record is from RNAcentral.
AAUUGACGGGGGCCCGCACAAGCGGUGGAUUAUGUGGAUUAAUUCGAUGCAACGCGAAAAACCUUACCUGGCCUUGACAUGUACCGAAUUGAGCAGAGAUGUUCAAGUGCUCGAAAGAGAACGGUAACACAGGUGCUGCAUGGCUGUCGUCAGCUCGUGUCGUGAGAUGUUGGGUUAAGUCCCGCAACGAGCGCAACCCUUGCCAUUAAUUGCCAUCAUUUAGUUGGGCACUUUAAUGGGACUGCCGGUGACAAACCGGAGGAAGGUGGGGAUGACGUCAAGUCCUCAUGGCCCUUAUGGCCAGGGCUUCACACGUAAUACAAUGGUCGGUACAGAGGGUUGCCAACCCGCGAGGGGGAGCCAAUCCCAGAAAGCCGAUCGUAGUCCGGAUUGUAGUCUGCAACUCGACUGCAUGAAGUCGGAAUCGCUAGUAAUCGCGGAUCAGCAUGUCGCGGUGAAUACGUUCCCGGGCCUUGUACACACCGCCCGUCACACCAUGGGAGUGGGUUUUACCAGAAGUAGUUAGUCUAACCGCAAGGAAGACGAUUACCACGGUAGGAUUCAUGACUGGGGUGAAGUCGUAACAAGUAAC